RNAcentral lists this long non-coding RNA (684 nucleotides) under Daphnia pulicaria. Its description in RNAcentral is "uncharacterized LOC124341556, transcript variant X2". Lineage: Eukaryota; Metazoa; Arthropoda; Branchiopoda; Diplostraca; Daphniidae. The record is from RNAcentral.
GGAGAUCAUAACGUAAAACGUGUCAUGCAACGGUGUAGAGGUUGGGUGAGAACGGAAAGUGCUUGCUUUAUUAUCAAUCAGGUUUAAUAGCCGCAAGGCUUAAGAGAGGGGUCAGGGUGAGAAAAAAUCGUAUAAAUGGCGAGAGAAAAGGCUACAGAAAUCAGUCUAGUGAGCGUCUCCGACACGGCAACAACUGUAGGUGCAUCAUUUGUCACCAACUGCCGUCUUCAUCGUGUUAUUAUUAACUUUGGCGUUGUGUUGCUGUUGGGUGUUUAUCGUUGAUGUCGACCACGAUAGAAAAUCUUAUUAAAGGAGAGAGAAAAGGUGAUAGAAAUCCGUAGAGUGAACGCCUCUGACAUGGCUACAACUGCAUCGUACUAAUUGUCACCAGCUGCCUUCUUCAUCUUAUCAGUUGGCAAUCAUGGUAAACUAUGCCGUUGUGGUUGUUGUGUCGUUGAUGGCUGGGUCGGCGACUGGUGUACCGAUGUCUCCUGCGCAUGGCGGAUACCAAACCGCAACGCCGCCGCCUUACUGCACGACAAACAUACGCAACAACCGGAUACCACACCACCAAGGCCCUAGAGUAGUACACCACGACUUAUGAUGUUCUGAACUACUACACCGAAGCCCCAAAAAUAAUUCUGCCCUGAGUUUCACCACCGAGGCAGCGGAGUACUACACCAC